GAUGAACGCUGGCGGCGUGCUUAACACAUGCAAGUCGAACGAAGCACUCUAUUUGAUUUUCUUCGGAAAUGAAGAUUUUGUGACUGAGUGGCGGACGGGUGAGUAACGCGUGGGUAACCUGCCUCAUACAGGGGGAUAACAGUUGGAAACGACUGCUAAUACCGCAUAAGCGCACAGGAUUGCAUGAUCCGGUGUGAAAAACUCCGGUGGUAUGAGAUGGACCCGCGUCUGAUUAGCCAGUUGGCAGGGUAACGGCCUACCAAAGCGACGAUCAGUAGCCGACCUGAGAGGGUGACCGGCCACAUUGGGACUGAGACACGGCCCAAACUCCUACGGGAGGCAGCAGUGGGGAAUAUUGCACAAUGGGGGAAACCCUGAUGCAGCGACGCCGCGUGAGCGAAGAAGUAUUUCGGUAUGUAAAGCUCUAUCAGCAGGGAAGAAGAAUGACGGUACCUGACUAAGAAGCACCGGCUAA
This 475-nucleotide ribosomal RNA is filed under the name uncultured bacterium. RNAcentral's name for it is "bacterial SSU rRNA". It matches the Rfam family "Bacterial small subunit ribosomal RNA", at positions 28 to 500 of the family's 1533-position model. The record is from RNAcentral.